RNAcentral lists this microRNA precursor (102 nucleotides) under Pelobates cultripes (western spadefoot toad). The record is from RNAcentral. Lineage: Eukaryota; Metazoa; Chordata; Amphibia; Anura; Pelobatidae.
GACCCUCCCUCCCAGACCCUCCCACCUCCUGGACAGCUCACUAAGAAUGCAGAUUCAAAAUGGAUGCUGUCCAGGAGGUGGGAGGGUCUGGGAGGGAGGGUC